AAUUGUCUAUGGCCGCGAACAAGCCCGAUUCCGUCUGAUCUCGGAAGCUAAGCAGGGUCGGGCCUGGUUAGUACUUGGAUGGGAGACCACCUAGGAAGACUAGGUGCUAUUA
RNAcentral lists this ribosomal RNA (112 nucleotides) under Pteropus alecto (black flying fox). Lineage: Eukaryota; Metazoa; Chordata; Mammalia; Chiroptera; Pteropodidae. The record is from RNAcentral.